This 253-nucleotide ribosomal RNA is filed under the name uncultured prokaryote. RNAcentral describes it as "partial 16S ribosomal RNA". It matches the Rfam family "Bacterial small subunit ribosomal RNA", at positions 525 to 777 of the family's 1533-position model. The record is from RNAcentral.
ACGUAGGGGGCAAGCGUUGUCCGGAUUUAUUGGGCGUAAAGAGCGUGUAGGCGGCUUUACAGGUCCGUUGUGAAAACUCGAGGCUCAACCUCGAGACGCCGGUGGAAACCGUAAAGCUAGAGUCCGGAAGAGGAGAGUGGAAUUCCUGGUGUAGCGGUGAAAUGCGCAGAUAUCAGGAAGAACACCCGUGGCGAAGGCGGCUCUCUGGGACGGUACUGACGCUGAGACGCGAAAGCGUGGGGAGCGAACAGGA